RNAcentral lists this unclassified non-coding RNA (298 nucleotides) under Xylariaceae sp. RNAcentral describes it as "partial contains 5.8S ribosomal RNA, internal transcribed spacer 2, and large subunit ribosomal RNA". The stretch from base 1 to 71 matches the Rfam family "5.8S ribosomal RNA", at positions 84 to 154 of the family's 154-position model. Lineage: Eukaryota; Fungi; Ascomycota; Sordariomycetes; Xylariales; Xylariaceae. The record is from RNAcentral.
GUGAAUCAUCGAAUCUUUGAACGCACAUUGCGCCCGCUGGCAUUCCAGCGGGCAUGCCUGUUCGAGCGUCAUUUCGACCACUUAAGCCCCCGUUGCUUAGCGUUGGGAGCCCACCGCCGCUCGCCGGCGGUCGCUCCCCAAAGACAGUGGCGGAGCCGGGUUCGUGCUCUAGGCGUAGUAGAUCUCUCUCGCCUGCAGCCGGCCCCGGCCCCCUGCCGUAAAAACACUUACACUAAAUGGUUGACCUCGGAUCAGGUAGGAAUACCCGCUGAACUUAAGCAUAUCAAUAAGCGGAGGA